AUUGCAAAGCUCAGUCAGUAGAGCAUGAGAUUCUUAAUCUCAGGGCCGUGGAUUUGAGCCCCAUGGACAAAAUAUUGCAAGG
This is a non-coding RNA of Podarcis lilfordi (Lilford's wall lizard), 82 nucleotides long. Lineage: Eukaryota; Metazoa; Chordata; Lepidosauria; Squamata; Lacertidae. The record is from the annotation of a GenBank genome assembly.